RNAcentral lists this transfer RNA (69 nucleotides) under Cypseloides fumigatus (Sooty swift). RNAcentral's name for it is "tRNA-Arg". The record is from RNAcentral. Lineage: Eukaryota; Metazoa; Chordata; Aves; Apodiformes; Apodidae.
AGAAAGUUAGUCUAACCAAGACAACUGAUUUCGACUCAGUAGACCAUAGCCCACACCUAUGACUUUCUU